AGUAUAAUCAGCUAAACAAGCUUUCGGGCCCAUACCCCUAAAAUGGAGGUUAAACUCCUUCUUUUACUC
Molecule: transfer RNA, 69 nt
Filed under: Dissostichus eleginoides (Patagonian toothfish)
Lineage: Eukaryota; Metazoa; Chordata; Actinopteri; Perciformes; Nototheniidae
Description: tRNA-Met
Rfam family: tRNA
About the family: Transfer RNA (tRNA) molecules are approximately 80 nucleotides in length. Their secondary structure includes four short double-helical elements and three loops (D, anti-codon, and T loops).
Source: RNAcentral